AUAAAAAUACUAUUAUCAUUUCUAAUUAACACAUAAAAACUAAUCAAGUCAUUUCAAUUCGAUACCAAUGCCAUAAAGGACUUCUACCAAUUUGCUAAUAUAAUCAUCAAAAUACAUAAUAUCUUACUUUACAACAAAACUAUAUAACAUACCAAAAUAACUAUUAUAAUUCUUAUGUACAUGCCACUUUCUCUUAAAGGAAGAAAACAUCACCAAAAUCUUUAUGUCGGAGUCGGGAUUGUCCUGGAUGCUGAACCGAGACUCUGAUCCCUUUUCAACUUGCACACGGAAACAACCGUACACUGAGUAUUGUAUACUCAGUGGUAUUACCAUAAUUCAAAUUAUAAUAACAACAAAGAAUUAUAAUUACCAAGCAUGUAACUAUCCGAUUUCUUAAAUAUCAAUUAAUUUAUAAACUUUCAUUAACUAACAAUAACAAUACAAUUUUUAGCUAUUCUUCAAUUUCAAUCAUAUAUCACAUGUAAUAAUUUCAAUCACUACAUAAACAUUAAAUUCAUGCCUUUCAUUUUCAAUCUCAAAUUUCAAUCCACAAUUUUAACUUUUCUUAUUUCAAUUAUUCACCCUAUUAACAAUCUGGAUUUUGACGGAUACACGGAUUCCAACCCAAACACACCAAUACGGCACAUUGUGCCUAAAACGGUAUAUAGUACCUGAUUAGUAUACGACACAUAAGUGUCUGAAACGACACACGAGGUGCCUGAUACGACACAUAAAGUGCCUGAAAUACGACACAUAAAGUGCCUGAUCGGCAAAGCCGAUAAAUCCCGUACUCUUCUAAAUCCUAUGGCAUGCCAAUUAUAUCCGACUCAGCCCGACUAGUUAAUAGGGUAUAUAAAUUUCUCGAUCUAAAUUUCACUUUUAUUUCAAAAAUUCAUUUUCAAUAUCAAUUAUACUUUUUCCUUUCACUAAUUAAACACAGUUCAAUACCAACACAUACUUUUCUCAUUCAAUUUAAUUUUUUUUUUCCAAAUUCAAUUCAAUAGUCACUUACCUUAUCAUAUGCUUGCCAUACACAUAAUUUAAAUUUAACAUCAAAUAAUAAAUAAUUUGAAUUAUAGUAAUACAAACCCGAAUUUUGCUCGAUUAUUCCUCAAUAACCUUCUCCUUUCCUUUGUGUGCCGAUGCCUCGAGUUCCUUGUUAGCUACGAAAAUAAUAAUAAUUUACACCAUCAAUUACAACAUUAAUUUAUAACAAUAAUAAAAUUUCUAUCUAAUUUAUACUUUAAUUCCAAUUUAAUUCACACUCUAUUUCUAUUCAAAUUUCUUCUAAACUCAAAUUUAACUACCAAAUUUUCAGCAUAUUUCAUUAAUUUCGAAUUUUCAUCAAUUUAAUCCCUACAAACAUAAAACUUAUAGCUUACUUCACAAUUUAAUCCUUUUAUCAACUCUAACUAGAAAUUCUAUCAAAUAAAACCUCAAUUCCAUCAUUUAUUCAACAUAAACCCUACUAAAAAUCUAUUAACUUUCAAAUUUUCAACUUAAAUCCAAGAGUAUUUCACUCUAGGGUUCCAAAAAACAUCAAAUUUAUGAGAAAAGGACUUGAUUUAGCUUACCUAUUAAACUUCAAGUUUCAAAAUCUUAAUUUUCCCUCUUUCUUUUCUUUCCCUUUUUCUUCUCCUGUUUUCGUCUCUUUCUCUGUUUCUUUUCUGUUCUUCUUUUGUUUCUUUUUCUUUUUGUUUUACUUACUUUAUUUUAAU
Molecule: long non-coding RNA, 1718 nt
Filed under: Gossypium barbadense (sea-island cotton)
Lineage: Eukaryota; Viridiplantae; Streptophyta; Magnoliopsida; Malvales; Malvaceae
Description: long non-coding RNA (GBAR_LNC022170)
Source: RNAcentral